Brassica rapa (field mustard) is the source of this 938-nucleotide RNA transcript. RefSeq lists it as uncharacterized. Lineage: Eukaryota; Viridiplantae; Streptophyta; Magnoliopsida; Brassicales; Brassicaceae. The record is from RefSeq and is a predicted model, not a curated record.
UUUAAGGUUGGGUCUCUUUAAAACUGAAAACGACUGCAAGCAAACCUCUUGUCUACCUGUACAUUCACACACACACGCAUAGUCUAAUGUGUGUGUAUAAUAUAUUCAUAACAUAGAUGCUUGGCUUUUGGGGAAUAAUUAAAUAAUCUAACAUCACCAAUUCCAUACAUUAAAAACCUCCAAGCCUCCAUCUCCAGGGCAGAAACAAAACCAUCAACACAGCUAAUUAAGAGAAGAACAUGGAGAAAGUGUGCUGCAUGUGCGGCGACGUCGGCUUUUCCGACAAGCUAUUCCGCUGCGGGCACUGCCGCAACCGCUUUCAACACUCUUAUUGUAGUAAUUACUACAGUGAGUUUGCGGAGCCGACCGAGAUUUGCGACUGGUGCCAGAGCGACGACAAAAAGCUGAGCAGCGUUGCUAAAAAAGGCGGAUCUUCUGUUUCUUCUUCAAAGAAGAAGAAGGCUUCUUCCUCCGUAAAUUACGAGAGCGGGGUCACAAACCAAUCGGAGUAUCCUUCCGGUGGCGGGAUCAAGCAUGACAAUAACCAUCAUGAUCAAGUGGCCAAGAGCGUUGUUGCAGGACCUGCAGGAGGCGGAAUGCCGUCGCCGAGGACGGCCACGCGAAGGUACAAGCUUCUCAAGGAUGUCAGGUGUUAGAUCAAUUUCUGAAAGAGAGCUUAUAAUAUAAUAUGCUAAAAUAAUAAUAAAAAUGCGCCUUUGAGAUAUGAUUGAGUGGUUUAUAUAAUAUUAGGAUUAUCUAUGUAUAUAUAUGUAUAAUUAAUUAGCCCCCACCCGAGACAGCAACAUCAACAUGUCAACGAUAGAAGUCGUUUUUUAUUAUUCUUUUUUUUCAUAGGUAUAGUGAAUGUAUAUCUCGUUGAGAAGCUUUUCGUACUAAUGUUGAAAAAAUAAUGAAUGGAUGUUUGUCGUGAGCUUCCA